AGGAAGGUGGGGAUGACGUCAGGUCAUCAUGGCCCUUACGGCCAGGGCUACACACGUGCUACAAUGGCGCGCACAGAGGGCUGCAAACCCGCGAGGGGGAGCUAAUCUCACAAAACGCGUCGUAGUCCGGAUCGCAGUCUGCAACUCGACUGCGUGAAGUCGGAAUCGCUAGUAAUCGUGAAUCAGAAUGUCACGGUGAAUACGUUCCCGGGCCUU
This 216-nucleotide ribosomal RNA is filed under the name uncultured Marinobacter sp. Its description in RNAcentral is "partial 16S ribosomal RNA". It matches the Rfam family "Bacterial small subunit ribosomal RNA", at positions 1167 to 1382 of the family's 1533-position model. The record is from RNAcentral. Lineage: Bacteria; Pseudomonadati; Pseudomonadota; Gammaproteobacteria; Pseudomonadales; Marinobacteraceae.